Oncorhynchus tshawytscha (Chinook salmon) is the source of this 485-nucleotide long non-coding RNA. The record is from Ensembl. Lineage: Eukaryota; Metazoa; Chordata; Actinopteri; Salmoniformes; Salmonidae.
GUGCCCAGUGGCUGUGUACGAGGCUGAAGGUGCCCAGUGGCUGUGUACGAGGCUGAAGGUGCCCAGUGGCUGUGUACGAGGCUGAAGGGGCCCAGUGGCUGUGUACGAGGCUGAAGGGGCCCAGUGGCUGUGUACGACGCUGAAGGGGCCCAGUGGCUGUGUACGACGCUGAAGGGGCCCAGUGGCUGUGUACGACGCUGAAGGGGCCCAGUGGCUGUGUACGAGGCUGAAGGUCCCCAGUGGCUGUGUACGAGGCUGAAGCUGCCCAUUGGCUGUGUACGAGGCUGAAGCUGCCCAUUGGCUGUGUACGAGGCCGAAGCUGCCCAGGGGCUGUGUACGAGGCCGAAGGUCCCCAGGGGCUGUGUACGAGGCCGAAGGUCCCCAGGGGCUGUGUACGAGGCCGAAGGUCCCCAGUGGCUAUGUACGAGGCCGAAGGUCCCCAGUGGCUGUGUACGAGGCCGAAGGUGCCCAGCGGCUGUGUACGA